UACAGAGGUCUCGAGCGUUGUUCGGAUUCAUUGGGCGUAAAGGGCGCGUAGGCGGCGGGGUAAGUCUGGUGUGAAAUCUCGGAGCUCAACUCCGAAAUUGCACUGGAUACUGUUCUGCUAGAGGGCUGGAGAGGAGAUCGGAAUUCACGGUGUAGCAGUGAAAUGCGUAGAUAUCGUGAGGAAGACCAGUGGCGAAGGCGGAUCUCUGGACAGCUCCUGACGCUGAGGCGCGAAGGCUAGGGGAGCAAACGGG
Molecule: ribosomal RNA, 253 nt
Filed under: uncultured bacterium
Lineage: Bacteria
Description: partial 16S ribosomal RNA
Rfam family: Bacterial small subunit ribosomal RNA
Source: RNAcentral